UCCAUGACUCAUUUGGAACCCCUUUACAAGUGCAGGGUUUGCAACUGAUGUUUAGCUUUUCAAAUUUUCUUCAUUGCCUCAAACAACAUAAGUUUUGGUAUCUGUAUCAAACCAGCAUCCACAUAAAAAGUGCAAAUGAUUUUCAUGGUAAAUCAGAAAGGGAGAAAAUUUAAGCUGCGAAUUCGAUGCAUGGGAACUUGUAUUUGUUCUGAAGAUUCAGUUGAGAUGCUUGACAAUCAAUGUUCCCUAAAACA
Molecule: unclassified non-coding RNA, 254 nt
Filed under: Hevea brasiliensis (rubber tree)
Lineage: Eukaryota; Viridiplantae; Streptophyta; Magnoliopsida; Malpighiales; Euphorbiaceae
Source: RNAcentral